Molecule: ribosomal RNA, 347 nt
Filed under: uncultured bacterium
Lineage: Bacteria
Description: bacterial SSU rRNA
Rfam family: Bacterial small subunit ribosomal RNA
Source: RNAcentral
AGUCGAACGGUAACAGGAAGAAGCUUGCUUCUUUGCUGACGAGUGGCGGACGGGUGAGUAAUGUCUGGGAAACUGCCUGAUGGAGGGGGAUAACUACUGGAAACGGUAGCUAAUACCGCAUAACGUCGCAAGACCAAAGAGGGGGACCUUCGGGCCUCUUGCCAUCGGAUGUGCCCAGAUGGGAUUAGCUUGUUGGUGGGGUAACGGCUCACCAAGGCGACGAUCCCUAGCUGGUCUGAGAGGAUGACCAGCCACACUGGAACUGAGACACGGUCCAGACUCCUACGGGAGGCAGCAGUGGGGAAUAUUGCACAAUGGGCGCAAGCCUGAUGCAGCCAUGCCGCGUG